Molecule: unclassified non-coding RNA, 10148 nt
Filed under: Leishmania donovani
Lineage: Eukaryota; Euglenozoa; Kinetoplastea; Trypanosomatida; Trypanosomatidae
Description: gene:LdHU3.34.3080(CDS-product:hypothetical_prote in_conserved)
Source: RNAcentral
GUUGUAAAAGCGCGCCUCAUUAUAUACAAAGCAAAAGGAGAAGAGGGGGAGAAGCUGCAUUUCGUCCCUCCCACACCUCCGCUCCCCUUCACCCGUCUCCUCCUCAGCCUCACGAUUAACCCGUCCACACAGUUCAGCAGCUUUCCAAGUCACGACACCACCCUCCCUUGUUCAUCAUUACACGCAACUUCAUGAGCGCACUCGAUUCGUAAAGCGCUGUCGAUCUCCUCCCUGUCUUUCCUUCGUAGUUCUUCGUUUUGUUUGUUGUCUUGUCUGUAUUAUUGUGUGUGCGUGUGUAUUUUUGGGGGGAUUUUGUUCCUUUAUUUCUUCCUUUUUUUCUUUUCAGUGGUUUUUUUCCUGUCUCUCUCUCUCUCUGUUUUGCCUUUUUUUGUCUUUUCGCAUUUCCUUGUGUGCUUCAUCAUCAUCCCUAGUUUCAGUCCCCUCUCUCUCUCCCUUCUUUUGUUGUUGUUUCGUCUCGUUUUCGGAUUCUCCGCCUUCGCUGAGCUGCUAAGGUGCGCGUGCUUUUUUUUCUUUUCGCCGGUGCAUCGGGCUCUUCAGCGGAGAGAAGCGCUUCACGUACACUUGACCGAACUACAUUGCUUCUUGUGGUCACCCCAGAGACCUUCUCUUGCCUAUACUGUCGUAGACGUCUACGACUAGUACUGAGGAAUGCGGGAGAGAAUCACCGUCUCUCUUUUCUUUUCUGUAUCUCUGAAUACUUUUCGUCCUCUUCUCCUUCUCGAACUGCUACUCCUGCCGUUCGUAAGUUUUUGUUUGUCCCGGCUUCAGAUUUCCUAUCUGAUUCUUGCUUGCUUUCCCUUCCCCUCCUUUUCCAGUAAGUGUGGGUGUGGGUGUGUGCGCCCUGCUCACGGCUUCUUCGUUCCCUCUCUCUCUGCGUAGCUCUUUACAACUUCUCGGGAGCUAUUUUCUUUCGUUUUGCGUGUAUGCCUGUGUGUGUCUGAGCGUCCGCUGAACCACUAUCAACCACCCUUUUUUUCCUCUACCCAUUUUUGCCAGCGAGUGGAGCAGACAGCUCUCUUCCCCUACGUUUCGGCUGUUGGAGGUGCGCAGCAAAAAAACACUUGUGAAGCGACACGGACAAGCGAGCAGCGAAACGACUCGACCCAUUUCCGCUUUUUCUGCCGUUCCUAUCGUACGCUUCCCCUUUACUUUCUCCCAGCACUAACACCCAAUACGAGCGGCACACACACAUAUGUAUACACACAAAAAAAACGCUAUAGCAGACGCAAAGAGUUUUUUCUCUCUCUUUCAUCAGGUCGCCUUUCGCUUCCUCUGGCUCCCUCUUCCUCCUCCGCCUUCUCCUUGUCCCACACACACACACACUGCCGCUCCACCGCCACCAACACCACGACCGCCCCACCCCCUUUUGUGUUCUGUCUUGCCUAUCACGGUAGCGGUUGAGUGCUCUUUUUUUUUGUCGUUCUUUAUUGUUGUUGGUAGCGUGCGCGUGUGUGUUUUUCUUUUUCCCUCUCUUCGUUCCUUUUUUUCAUCUUUGCUAGUUCAUCUUUCCCGUGAACUUAAAAAGUUUCUCACUCACUCUCGUCUCGUGGCAUUCCGUGUCUUUUUUCCCUUUUAUUAUGAUUAAUCUGGUUUACGUAAAAUCCAUCGUAUUCGUGUGUGUGUGUGUGUAUGAGCCACGCAUGGAAUGCUGUUGCAGCUGAUCUUGGUCGUUGACAUUCUCUCCCGCACCCUCUCUGUCUCUGUCACUAGAACGCUUUUUUUUUCGCGCUCGUUUCUCUCGCCAUGCUCUCCUGCGGAGUUUCGACGACCGGUGGUGGGUCGCUCAUAAGAAACGGUGCCCCGAUGCACGGCAUCUCCAUCCGCUCCGCAACACCACCGCGUCGCCACAACGCCCCUCUUUCUGCCGAAUCCGAGCUUACUGUUCUCACUGCAGGUGUCUCCUUGGCACACGAGGAGACGUGUACUCGCAAGGUGGCGUGCACAGUGUUCAACCGCACGCCAGCGGACGGCGCUCCGAGAUGCAAGUCGAAUAGCUCCCUUACCACUGUCGCUGUCUUGUCCGCCGAUUUGUCGCCGCGGCAGCGUCGAUGCGGCACCAGCUUCGCCUCGAGCAUUCUUGCGGAGUGCGACUCGCCGUGUGGCUCACCUCGCGUGCACCUUACUCGGCCCUUUUCUAGCCGUGGCUCGUUCGCGAAGCCGGUGCUCUGUGGCAGUGUACCGAGCACUGGAGCGCCGUCGUUAAAGGCUGCGGACGGUGCCCUGGCGAACCGCAGCUCCAGCGGACUGCAUGGGGUGUCGCCAUCUCUCUCGGUGACCCUGAGCGAGGCGGAAGAGGACGUCACCGUGACGAGUGCAGAAUCGGUCUCUGCGACUGCUUCUGUGGAGCCGCUGGCGACGCCGGGCAGCAUCGUCUUGGCCGCCAACGAUGCAAGGCCGUCGAGCUCUCCGUCCUUCACCUAUUUCCCCAGCAGCGGCGGAGGCGUUCCUCAGGAAAGCUCGGCAUCGACCAGCGAUAAGGCAAACGCAGUCGGAAGCGUACCUGCUUUCCGGCUGAGCAGCGUCCCCGGCAUCCGUGAUGGCUGCGGGGCCAUCGUGAAUAACAACAUCUCGACGGAACAUAAAUUCUUUGAACCUUUGCAGCUGGAUGCUGCUGGCCACCUCUUCUCCCCACUGCAGCGGUUCUCCAGUGCUCACACCUCGCAGCGCGCCAGCUGUGUCGCGGCUCUUGAGCCCCGCGCGUUUGACUUCGGUGGUGCACCUGUCGAGCACAAGGACGUUACGCUCGCAUGCCCUUUGUCAAAUGUGCACCACGGCAAACUGUGCGAGAUCGUCAAGCAGCAGCUGCUCCUGCACGCCUGCCUUGUGUCCAUCGCACGGGAAAGAGAUGAAGGAGAGGAUUUGCAGCGGCGCGGCAACUUCACUUUAGAGAAAGUGCAGUUGCAGCAGCAGCGCCGUCGCUGCCGUUGUCUGCUGUCCAUUAUGUGGCUGCUCUGGAGUGUGUUUCUCCGUCUUCCGCUACGCUUUCUGAAGCGAGUGCUGACUACUUCUGUUGGCGAAUUGCGGAAAAUCUUGCUGUUGACGCAAGAGUCCUAAAGUGCAUUCUGCCAUGGCGCACCCGUGUCCCCUAAUAAAAAACAACGACAACAAAAAAGACGAAAGAAUGAGUUUUUUUUUUCGAAACGCGAGUUUUUCCUCUUUUUUUUCUGUGUUCUUAGCGCACUGACUCGUGUCGAUUCAGGGAUUUUUGUUGAAGUUGUGUGUGUUACUCCCCCUUUUUUUGUCCUUUGUUUUGUUCGCCCCUUUCAUGUGGUUUCUCUCGUCCUGUUUCCUGUGCACGCGAUCCCACUCUUUGUUUUCUUUCGUUUUUCGUUUUUUUUUCAUCUGAAUUGACACCUGCGCUCCCUGUGUGACAGAUAAAGGAUGUGCGUUCCUUCUCACUUCUUCCUUUGGCCGUCUCUCGGGGCACCUUGGUCCUUUUUAUCGGCUUUUCGUAACAGGUAAUGCAGAGAAAAUUCACUGCGAUUCCGAUUGACAGCGAGGGAGGUAACGGAAGGGAUGCCAGCGGAUAGAUCUGCGCGUCGAGGAAUGGGCCAUGAGGGAAGGGCAAGCUGGAGCUCUACAUGUUUUGUGCAUGUGCUAGGGGUUUUCAUGCACGUAUCUUCCAUUUUCUUGCUCAAGUUGGCACCGCAUCCCUCCUCUCGCUUUGCCUUAGUUAUCCGACCCAGCGGCACCCCACUGACGCGUUACUCUCCACUUCUGUGCGCCUCCUCUUGCCUGCCGCGCAUAUUUCUUCCAACGGGUAGAGGUCCCUAUCAUUCCUUAUUAUCGGCCUCUCUUCGUCACCUCCGCAACUUUUUUUUGUUUCUUUUCUUCCUCCUUCCACUCUAAUUGUUUGUUCUAACACGUUGACCCAUAUUACUUUCUCUGUGCAUGUGUGUGUGCGUUCGUCUAGGAAGAUGUUCCUUCUUUUUCGAUGCCUUGGUGCUCUCACCUCCUUUGUCGCUGUCUCUCCAUCUCUGUAGCGCUUUAUUUUCAGCUUUCUCGUCGCUAAUGUCCUGAUUUUUUCUUUUGUGCGUGUUUCAUUCGGUGUCUUUUCACUUCGUUCAUCGGAUCUUCUGUGCCGCUUCUUUUUCAGGCUCCCUGCUGUCUUGCUCCCGCGUCUGUGAGGAAGGACGACACUCGUUGUGGGGAUGUGCCCAGCUCUGUUCCUUUCACCUUCCUCUCUCCUGCUGGCGUCGAUAUUUCUUUUUUUUUUUUCUGCCCCGCCCCCUCCCUCCACCUUGGUCUUCCAAUGCAGCAGAACUGUACCAGAAAGGAUGGACAUCAUUGCCAUGCGGGCCCGUGGAGACAUAUUCCCCACCCGCUUCCUUCACAAGCAACGACGCGCGUAGCUGACACCCUGGUGAAUGUCUCUGUUUUUUUUUUUGCAGCCUUUGCCAACCCCCCUCACGCGCGCAUGCGACAAAACACUGUAAACGCGCUUUUGCACACGAGGAGGAUGUGUAUUCCCCGCCGCUUGUGCAGCUCUGUCAUGAGGGCGGGGGGAGGGGGGUAAUGCUCAAUGCUGCUUGCUUCGUAUCUGUGUCUUUCUGUGUUUCUUUAUUUUUGUCUCUGCCACUCUGUUGGACUCUCCUCCAAGCGCCAGCCCGUCUUUCUAGUCCUCGUGCACUUGAACCGUUGUUAUGGCGAAAGGUUCGUGGGGCGAAGAUAUCGGCGGAGACAGAGACAGACACGUAUCUGCGGAGGGUGCGGCAUGCAGUCUAGCGCGGCUCUCAGAAGCGCCAUAGACGCAAAAGCCAGAUGUAAAACGCACAGCAAAAAAAGGAUCUAAAUGGCUGUAUCGUGCACUCGUUAUACCAUGCGGAGUAGAUUCUUCCCUGCCCCCCUGCCUCCCUCCCCGUCCCUCCUCCUCCCGUUUGUGCCCUUGCUCCGUUAGGAGUCCCCCACCCCCACCCCGCUCGACCCCAUUCUCAGUCUCGCUUUCUGACUCCUGUGUCCUUGGCACUUGUUAAGUUCACGCUGUACUAUUCAUUUUUCCUUUUAGUGUGUGCGUCUUUUGUGCUCGCUUUGUUAGUUUCCGUUUCGAGGGUGUUUUGUGCCUUGCUUCUAUAUAUGGAUAUGCUACUCAACAUCGUGUUUCCUCGUUGUUGGUUUCCUCUCUUGUUCUUUAUGCCGACGCCCCCCCCCCACACACACACACUUUUUUUUUUCGAUCAUCCCCUUUCGAGCGUUCCUUUCUCUGUCUCUUUGUCUCUUUCACGGUCUUCUUUUUUUUUGUCGGCUCUAUAUACAUCGCCUACUCUGGCGUGUGCGUGUGUGUUUAUGAGAGUGUCCUGCGUCUGACGUGCUGGUCAACUCCCUGUAUUUCGUUCGUUCUUGUAUGCGAGCGCGAGCGCGUCAGUACGUUCUCUCUCUCUCCCUCUGUGUGUGUGUCUUCUGUGCAUUUGGCGUCCUUUUUUUCUCUCUGCGUUUAUCCGUGAUAUAUAUAUAUAUGUGUGUGUGUGUGUGAUGUGGCCUUCCAUUGGCCGCCGAUGUAGACCCAUCUAUGUCUUUUUGGUUGUUGCUCCUUUUCCUACUUUUCUUUUGCGUUUCAUUUCUCUCUCUUGGAUGUAGAACCGGUCACUCGAUCCUGCUGUGGAUACUGGCAUUCCUCUACACUACUCCCGCCUUCUCCGCCAUUCACGCUUUGGGCGUCUCCUCACCGUGUCCUCUCUCGCACCUGCCACCGCAGAGGUCUUCACUUUUACACUCGUUUUGUACGCCUCAGCGUUACGCUCACCUGCACCGGGUGGAACGAACACCGAUGCCUUACCACUUGAUGGUUCUUGUUCUCUCUUUUCGUCUCCCUUCCUGCCCCUCCCUCCCUCCCUCAGUCUCAAAGAGCAAGUAUCUGAUGGCCUCACAGCGGCAGCAACGGCGAAGGCAACACCAGCGGUGCCGUCUCACUCCCCACCCUCCCCCUGCCUUAUGCGAGAGUAGCCCUCCACUCGUACCAAUCGCAGAGAGAACUGCCACGUAGAGAGCAUGCUAGCGUAUGUGAGCGAUCGUACAAGAACUCAAAAACAGCACAACUCCGAUUGUUUCUUUGUGCUCCUGCACAUUGCAUGCGAGAAGCCCCCUUCCGUCUUCCUCUCACAACCGUUUUUCUUUUUUUCACGAUGUUAUCGCCUACAUCUCUCUUUUUGGUAAUGUUUUCCUUUUUUAUUUUUGGACUCUGCUUACCGUUUUCCAUUUUUCUUUUUUUUUAGUAUGGGGACAGCGUUUCCGUGGAUUACUCCCAUCCCCCCCCCCCCACACACACCCUCUCCUCUCUCAACUUAAAGUCCUCGUCAAAGAGAGCAAUACAACAAGAACAACAGCAACGCCCUCUCUUCAUCGCUUUCAUCUCCGUUCUAUAGAAGGUAGCAGGAUAGUUUUUUUUUGUUUGUUUGUUUCUUGUGGCGCUUCUGUUUUUUUUUUUUUUGCUUCUCGCACCGCAGAAGAGAUAAAUAGAAGCGCGAAAGCGAAUGCACGCGCACACGCGCGGGCAGCCACGCUCGCCCGUUUGGUCCCUCUUGUGCGAGAAACACGAAACAAGGGCGAGAAGAGGAAGAAAGACGGCGUUUUAUACCUCUCCUCUUUGUCCUCCUCGCGCCACGUGCUCUCUCAUCCUUUCAGUCCUUCAUUUGAAAUCGGCAGUGCUGGCCUCUAGUAGUAGUAUAAAGAAGCUUUCACGAAGGGGGCGGGAGUCUCAAGUCUUCUUUGUCUUUCCUUUUCCCUUCUGCGAUGCGCUCUCUCGCUCUUCUCCCUGUGACUUGAGCGGGCCGCAUAUGGCACCAUCAGCGAUGUACAGAAAUCACUUUCGUGAGCGCGCGUGUGUGUGCGUGUGCCAUUUUCCCAAAGGGGACACUCCGUGUGGUGCUGUACCUAUCUGUGUUUACAUGUAUGGCGUACGAGGUUGGCUUCUCUUUCGCUGUGCGGGAGUUGAUCUGCAGCGCCACGGGCGAAUCGCUCUGUGAGUGAGUGUCAUGUCCUCAGUCCUUUUCUGCUGUCAUGGCCCCACAUGGAAGCUUCUCACGCACACACGCACGCAGUGCUGGCGCAAGAAUACGACCAGCACUAAGCCCACAUUCACUCGCAUCUAUAAAUGGGGGGGGGGGGUACCGCUUGAACUCGUGCUUUAGUUCUCCCCUUUUUGUUUUCUCUCUCUUUUCAUGCUCCCCCCCCAUCUGCCUUCCGCUUUCCUUCUCGGUAUAGUGGUUAUAGCUAACGCAGUCGCAGACAAGCACCAGUCUCAGCCGUAUCCCUGGCCUUGCUCUUCCUUGUUGUUUUCUGUGCCUCUUUUCGUGCCUGUGUUUGUUUUGCUGUACCCUUUUCUUCCCUUCCACUCGUUGUGUGUUACUCUGCCUGUCUCUUUUCUGCUGUUGUUGUCAUAGUUUUCGCCUCAUGACGUUUUCCCUCUCUUAGCGGGUUGGUCUGUAGAUGUGUGUGUGUGUGUGUGUGUGUGUGCGCGCGCGCGCCCCCACCCCCUCACUCUCUCUAACUUCUCUUAGUUCUAGUCCACCCUUUAUCUGUCGCUGCCCGAGACAUCGACGAGGGGCUCGCUUUAGCUGUGCCAUCCGUCCCCCUUCUCACGCUUCCACCUGCCUCGCCGCCCGCCAACCUCUGAUCAGUUAUAUGACGAUCAAGAGGAGGAAGUAGGGAGGGAGGCAGAAGGAUGGAGAGAGUUGAGGGAAAGGCGGACACGGUAAUGAAGAGACAGGACAAGCAAGGAACGGCGAGAGCGCCGAGAUUCCCUUCGCGGGCAGGAAGUAAUAUGCACAUUAUUGUGCUGUUUCACGCGAGCCGAAAGCCGUUCUCGCCUUCGGAGCAAAUCUUUCGCGCCGGGUUCUCAUACCUCCACCAUCGGUGACUCUUGUUCUCAGUCUUCCGGUACAUAACUUAUCCUCGAUUCACACGCACACGCACACGCACACGCACGAAAAGCAGAUGCAAUUACGCGACAUCAAUGACUGACGCCUCCUGUCGCUCGUCUGUCUUGAGGGCAUCGUGAUGUGCUCCUUCUCUUUCCUCUUUUUUCGUCGCUUCAGUACCUGCAUGUAGGUCUUUGUGUCUAAUCGUGUGUGCAUGUGUGUGUCCGGGAGGGUAAGAAGGGUGUGUAUAUGCUGAUUUCUCGGACUUGGCACGUUUUGUGUAAACGAGCCACUGCUCUCUGUGUCUUGUUUGAUGUGUGAAUUUGGUGGUGCUCAUGAUGGAAUGUGUCCAUGUAUGCCUCGUCUACAUGUGAUGAAGCGCACAACUGCCUACGCGCUUAUGCAUACUUACAUACACGCCCUGCGAAAGAGAGGGGCGCGCAUGCGGAUGCCCUUGGCACAUUCACAGCAGCUGCCGGGCACACAGAAGGCGCCUGGAAACGCCAUCUCGCCCGGUUCGAUCCGGAAACAACGGCAACCGCAGCAACGAUAGAGAACAAAACGGUGGAUAUUCAACACACAAUCGUGCGGGACUGCAGACGUUUCAUUUUUUUUUUGCUUUGUUGUUGCUGGCUUGUUUUGUCCCACGCUUUCUGUCGUUGUUCUCUAUUGCCGAACGACUUGUUGUGGGUGCCGUUCACCCCCCCCCUCCCCUUUUUCUUCGCCUGUUCACUUCUUUCGUUGCGUGCUCUCCUGUUUCUUUGUUGUUUAGUUUAUUUGUGCCUGUUUUUUUUUUUGGGUGUGUGGGUCACCUAGGUGUGCGUGCGUCUAUAUAUAUACACACAUACAUGCAUAUGUAUAUAUAGGUCUAUAUACAUAUUCACACACACACAUAUAUACAUCUAUAUAUAUGUGUGUGUGUGUGCUCGCCGGUACCGGUUCGUGUUGGCGAGUGUUUUUCGUUUUGUUUUUGAGGUGAAACACACACACAUAUAUAUAUAUAUAUAAACGUCGCUUCUCCUCGUGCGCUGUGGCUCCUCGUCUUCGUCUUCGCUAAACGCUACACUUCGGUAAGGUGUCUCUCUCUUUCCUCGGUCUUCUCCAAUCCACCUCUCCUCCGUGCCUAGGCAUUGUUUUCGCGUGUCUGUGUACGUGUGCGCUCUAUCCCGUAGCCCCUCCUGUGUGUUAGCAUGCGUGCGCGUGUGUGUCUUUUCCUCAGUCUCUUACCAGCUGUAGUAACCGCGUGCGUCUCUCUCUGCGGCUGUGCCCCUUCGGCGUGUCUGCAUAUGUGUGCACUGUGGCCUCUUCUCCACUAUUCUUGCCUUUUCCUCGACCCGCUCCCUUCUUGUUUUUGUUUUGUUAUCCAAUUCUGUGGUGCUUUUUCUUUUCGUCUCUGUGUCUGUGUGUGUGAGCGCCUCAUCGUAUGAUGUCGGUGUUUUCUCUCUUCCUGUGCGUUCAUAGGCUCUUUGUCGGUCGGUCUGGCUCUUUUCUUCUUUCGUCUAUUGUUCUUUCUGUGUCUUAGUAUUCCUCGUUCCAACCCUUUCGAUGACGUCGAUGAACGCUUGUUUCACGUGCUCGCCUGUUGUCGAUGUCUAUGUCAACGUCUAUGUGUGUGUGUGUUUAUUGUUUUCGUUUGUUGUGUGUGUGCCUUUUCGUACGGCUGCUGCAGGGGAGCGGUACCCGUGGAAUUGUCACCUUCCCUUUUUUUCUUUCCUGCCACGGAAAGGAGGUGUUUAACGUACGUUCAGGUCUGUCUUGUUGGUUCGCUCCUUUUCUGUUGUAGGGGACGCUUUUGUUUUCCCUUUUAUUAUUAUUAUUUUCGUUUUCGACUAGUUGUUUGCCAGCGUUCUCACCAUCUCGCACGCCGUCCCCUUCGUGGCGCUCUGCGUGAUCUGCUUUCUCCAAGUACCGCCAAACCCUUUCUUUGGUUUCUUUUUUAUUCUUUUGCUCGCUACACCUUUCUCUGUCGGCAGCGUUGAAAAGAAGAAGGACAGCAAAAAAAACCCUCGAUGGCUCGUAGACGGGCAUGUUUCAGUGCCAUUCUUCCUGCAGACAUGAGUGAAAAAAGCGCGCGAUGAGGAAAAUGAAAGUUGUAACGUAGGUGAUGAUACACAAAAGAAUUGACGAACAGCAGGAAGCUCUCCGCAACAGCGUCGCGUGAAAGGUGUGCUUUAUUAUUAUUAUUACGAUGUUCGCCUGUGCGCUUCUUUUCUUUGGUGGCAUCGCUGUAUAGCUCUUCUCGUCGGCAUCUGCCACGUCUUCCGCAGCAUCGAC